Molecule: ribosomal RNA, 237 nt
Filed under: uncultured bacterium
Lineage: Bacteria
Description: partial 16S ribosomal RNA
Rfam family: Bacterial small subunit ribosomal RNA
Source: RNAcentral
GAUCCUGGCUCAGGAUAAACGCUGGCGGCGCACAUAAGACAUGCAAGUCGAACGGACUUAACCGUUAGUUUACUAAUGGAGCGGUUAGUGGCGGACUGGUGAGUAACACGUAAGCAACCUGCCUAUCAGAGGGGAACAACAGUUAGAAAUGACUGCUAAUACCGCAUAUGCCUUAGCAACACAUGUUGCAAAAGGGAAAGGAGUAAUCCGCUGAUAGAUGGGCUUGCGCCUGAUUAG